RNAcentral lists this ribosomal RNA (229 nucleotides) under Escherichia coli. Its description in RNAcentral is "partial 16S ribosomal RNA". It matches the Rfam family "Bacterial small subunit ribosomal RNA", at positions 1305 to 1533 of the family's 1533-position model. RNAcentral also lists the same sequence under 9 other names. Lineage: Bacteria; Pseudomonadati; Pseudomonadota; Gammaproteobacteria; Enterobacterales; Enterobacteriaceae. The record is from RNAcentral.
CUGCAACUCGACUCCAUGAAGUCGGAAUCGCUAGUAAUCGUGGAUCAGAAUGCCACGGUGAAUACGUUCCCGGGCCUUGUACACACCGCCCGUCACACCAUGGGAGUGGGUUGCAAAAGAAGUAGGUAGCUUAACCUUCGGGAGGGCGCUUACCACUUUGUGAUUCAUGACUGGGGUGAAGUCGUAACAAGGUAACCGUAGGGGAACCUGCGGUUGGAUCACCUCCUUA